Molecule: long non-coding RNA, 1019 nt
Organism: Pteropus alecto (black flying fox)
Lineage: Eukaryota; Metazoa; Chordata; Mammalia; Chiroptera; Pteropodidae
Exons: 6
Source: RefSeq, a predicted model, not a curated record
CCUUUUUCCCCUUCCGUACCCUGCUGUGCCCAGUCUUAAGUGCUGGUCCCUUCCAAGGAGAGUGCACCACCAUCACGGCAAGGAUUAUGCAUCUACCAGGGGGUAAACACCAUUCAGCAUCUAGCCCUGAGAUAUAUUCACUGACGGGGAAUUAGCCGAGCCUCCAGAGAUGCUGACCUCCAUGUUCCAGGCUGUGGUUUUGCUGUUUACUCUGGAUUCCAGGCUUCUUUAACCUGCACUUCCAAACGUCUGGGCUUUUCCGGCCAGAGAUGCGGAACUCUGACUUUUCUGGCUCCUGAACAGGCUCCUUAGGAUUCAGGACUGGUCCCCAGGCAGGAAAGAAAAGGCAAAUGCCAACGGGGUCUUCGGUGCUGCCUCAGGGCAAGCCAGGCCUGCUGAUUUCCCACCAGCAACUCCAGGACCACUCCAAAGUCUUGCCUGAGCUGCAGUGCCCCCUGCAGGCUGAAGGCCGAGGUUUGGACCCAGAAGAGAUUAUGGGAAAUUGCAUCAGGAUUACCCUGCUCUCCUCAGCUUGGUUCAGAAGAUGGAAAUCGUCCAGAAAUCAGCACCCCCUUGUUCCUUAUUUAUGUCAAGGAAAUUACCCCUCUUUCAACUGAACCCUUCAUUCAACACUCCAGAAAUACAAGGUCACACACUGAGACAGUCUUUCUUUCUGGGACAUUACAUACCAGCUGGGGAGAAAAAUCACAACAUUGAAUUAUUCUUUUUCAUCCCAGUGCUGUAUGUGGUGGAAUGCCCAACAUUGCAGAUGCCCAAGAGUGCAAUCACCAGGCAGAGAAGCAAAGCAUCAGAGUGCUUUGCACAGUGUUUGGUUCACACGGUGAGCACAUUGUCCCUGUUCCUUUUGCUGUCUUCUCACCACAACUACCAAGAGCUGGACCCUUCUCAUCCCUUCCAUCCUGACCACUGUAGCUGGAUCAAACUGUCAUGGUCUUCACUGUCCCCUUACAGCUCUUACAAUGGCUCCCUAUCACUCUUGAGAUAAAGCCCAAAAUCUG